UACGUAGGGGGCAAGCGUUGUCCGGAAUUACUGGGCGUAAAGAGCACGUAGGCGGUUCGUUAAGUCGGUUGUGAAAUCACCCGGCCCAACUGGGUGGGGUCAGCCGAUACUGGCGGGCUUGAGGGAGGCAGAGGGAAGCGGAAUUCCCGGAGUAGUGGUGAAAUGCGUAGAUACCGGGAGGAACACCAGUGGCGAAGGCGGCUUCCUGGGCUUCAUCUGACGCUGAGGUGCGAAGGCGUGGGGAGCGAACCGG
Molecule: ribosomal RNA, 253 nt
Filed under: uncultured bacterium
Lineage: Bacteria
Description: partial 16S ribosomal RNA
Rfam family: Bacterial small subunit ribosomal RNA
Source: RNAcentral